This 506-nucleotide long non-coding RNA is filed under the name Scleropages formosus (Asian bonytongue). Its description in RNAcentral is "lncRNA (ENSSFOG00015024434.1)". Lineage: Eukaryota; Metazoa; Chordata; Actinopteri; Osteoglossiformes; Osteoglossidae. The record is from RNAcentral.
CUCCGUGAAUUUCGGACAUUUGCGGCGCGGACCCGGAAUAUCGAUCCGUCGCGUGAGCGUCCCGUGACGUCAGGUGCCGCCAGCGCGAAAAAGGUGUAAAUUGGAUCACGCGUGCGCUGCGACUGAACACAUUAUUAUUAUUAUUAUUAUUAUUAUUAUUAUUAUUAUUAUUAUUAUUAUUUAUUGUUGUUGGUAACGCAAAUGACCCCGCCGGUGUGUCCCGCCAGGUGUCCAAACCUGAGAUGGAGAAGAAGAGGAGACGGGACCGGAGCAGCUCGAAUCCCCGCAGUGCUGCAGGAGCACAGCGCUCGAAAUGAUCCACGCCGCACCCCGGACCCGCCCAGUACAGAGCCCAGUUCAGAACCUGUCUCGUGACUGUAAACCGGUUCGUCUGGUCGCCGGACGGCGCGAGAAAGGGGUUUCGCUCGCGCGCGCUCGCGUGCCAGUCCGCCUGCCCCUGCUCCUCCGGCACCGCGGGUAGCUAGCGCGCUUUGCGCGUGGCGUGC